Molecule: long non-coding RNA, 385 nt
Filed under: Solanum tuberosum (potato)
Lineage: Eukaryota; Viridiplantae; Streptophyta; Magnoliopsida; Solanales; Solanaceae
Description: long non-coding RNA (STUB_LNC000100)
Source: RNAcentral
GUUUUGAACGUCACUAUUCCUUUCGUGGGAAUACAAUUCGAGAUGAAAAGUUUCAAGAAACUUAUUUUCUUCCAAUAAAUAGAUUCAGAAUUAAGGUAAUGAAUGAGAAAUAUGAAAUUAAGAGCUUAUGUUCGUUAAAUUUGUGAAAAAUACUUAUUUUCUUCCAAGAAAUAGAUUCAGAAUUAAGGUAAGGAAUGAGAAAUAUGAAAAUAAGAGCUUCCGUUCGUAAAAUUUGUGAAAAAUGUCGACUAAUCCGUAGGAGGGGGCGCAUUAUAGUAAUUUGUUCCAACCCGAGACAUAAACAAAAACAGGGCUAAUCAGACUUGCCAGAAGAGACGAUGUACAAAUUAAGAAUCUGCUUUUACAUGAAAUGGAUAUAUCCAUA